UACGUAGGGGGCAAGCGUUGUCCGGAAUCAUUGGGCGUAAAGAGCUCGUAGGCGGUUCGGUAAGUCGGGUGUGAAAACUCUGGGCUCAACCCAGAGAGGCCACCCGAUACUGCUGUGACUAGAGUGCGGUAGGGGAGCGGGGAAUUCCUGGUGUAGCGGUGAAAUGCGCAGAUAUCAGGAGGAACACCAGCGGCGAAGGCGCCGCUCUGGGCCGUAACUGACGCUGAGGAGCGAAAGCAUGGGUAGCAAACAGG
RNAcentral lists this ribosomal RNA (254 nucleotides) under uncultured bacterium. RNAcentral's name for it is "partial 16S ribosomal RNA". It matches the Rfam family "Bacterial small subunit ribosomal RNA", at positions 524 to 776 of the family's 1533-position model. The record is from RNAcentral.